UGAGAUUAUAGUCUGUAAGUAACACACACUAGCGGGAUAUCUUGUGCCAUAAAGUAAUUGUAAUGUCAUGUAAUUAAAAUCUAUGGUUACUACAGGCCUUCCAUCCAAUUUCAAGGCAAAAUUCUGCUGAAUUCACAACAUUAUGUCAACUUCAACUGCUCUGGAAUUAAAACACUUUAGCUUGCUGAAGUGCUCUAUAUGCGAAGAGUGUGUCCUCAUGCUAUUGUUGCCACAAUAGCACAGAACGGCUUUUUAGAGUGGCCAAAAUUGUGAUACGAGGACUCGGUACAGAUUUUUUGUUAAUAAACAUGAGUAAGCUAAUAUUUAUCAGUUGGUGAGUAAGCCUAAUCAGUCAGUAAGCAUGGCUGAGGUGAGGGGUAACUAUAUCUGAGUAUGAACACAGUGUUGAAGUCAUGGGUUUUGUGUUAAACAGUGGUCCACUACUGGGAGCAAACCAUCGAGGGCCAAAGGCACUGUGGGGAGUUCCGUGCAAAGCAAUCUUGUAGUAUCGGUCCAGUCUUAUGGAUUGCUUAGUAGGAGUGUUAGCGUAGUGGACUCCUAUGAGGAAUUGUUACAUGGGUGCCUUGCAUUUGAGCUGAGCGUGCCCCUAACCCUGGCUGUCAACCAGACAAAUGAUCCUGUUACUUUCUGGUUUGUUUAGUUCAGUUUAGCGAAAAUCAGGAGACGGCAAUUGCUCAGAGCACCUACCUUGCAAAGACUUCUUAUCGAGCAGCAUUGGCAAGUCUGAGAUUGGACGGCCACAGAGUGAUCGGCAAGUGAUUGACUUAUUUUGCAAGCUGUUUAAAUUAUACCCCAAUGAAAAACUGCAUAAUUAAAUGCAAACAUUUUUAUUGAGUGCAUUUUAACUACGGUAAAUAUUUAUUUUUGUUUUUAUCUGGGCAGUGGAG
Molecule: non-coding RNA, 908 nt
Organism: Pelobates cultripes (western spadefoot toad)
Lineage: Eukaryota; Metazoa; Chordata; Amphibia; Anura; Pelobatidae
Source: the annotation of a GenBank genome assembly